Molecule: microRNA precursor, 86 nt
Filed under: Trypanosoma congolense IL3000
Lineage: Eukaryota; Euglenozoa; Kinetoplastea; Trypanosomatida; Trypanosomatidae
Source: RNAcentral
GCCACAGUCUGAUAUUACCGCGUUUCCAUCCAACCGCAUCCGUAGUACUACAGAAACGGUUAGGUGGAAACGCGGUAAUAUAUAUG